RNAcentral lists this ribosomal RNA (121 nucleotides) under Microcebus murinus (gray mouse lemur). Lineage: Eukaryota; Metazoa; Chordata; Mammalia; Primates; Cheirogaleidae. The record is from RNAcentral.
CUCUACGGCCAUACCACCCUGAACAUACCCGAUCUCGUCUGAUCUCGGAAGCUAAGCAGGGUCAGUCCUGGUUAGUACUUGGAUGGGAAAUAAUCUGUACACAGAUAAGACUCCAUAGACA